GUCGUAAUUAACGGCUCCCAGCCAUCAGUCGCCAUUACUUUUUGCAAACACAAGGGCGAUUGGACUUGGAUAAACUUCAAGCACGCCUCCUUCAAUCCGCGGCAGUGGCGCUGCUCAGCUAGAGCAAGAGUGGAGGCCACCGAGGUCACACCUAUGCGCUCAGACAAUCGCUUUUCACAGAUAAACUUGAGGCGCUGGAGAUCAUAUCUGUCUGCUGCUACAAGCAAGUCUUGUAGCCAUUGCAGCUCCGUUGCAUCCUCUGCUGCAUCCUCUCCUUGUCCUUGUUCCGCAACUUCUGCCAUUUCAUCCUCUGCUGCUUCCUCUUCUUGUCCUUCUUCCAUGGCCUCUCCUUCGUCCUCCUCCAUGUCGUCCUCCUCCAAUAGAGGGAUGCCCUCCUUCAUGGGGCCAAAGAAUUGUGCCAUGAAGACUUUUGAUCGGGCUGCAAGCACAAAUCGG
This 456-nucleotide ribosomal RNA is filed under the name Triticum aestivum (bread wheat). RNAcentral describes it as "partial small subunit ribosomal RNA". The record is from RNAcentral. Lineage: Eukaryota; Viridiplantae; Streptophyta; Magnoliopsida; Poales; Poaceae.